UGCAUAGCUGCAUGUCAGUGGAAAGUCCAAAAAGCUUUCCAAUCCCCGUUUUCUUCUCUCUCUCUCUCUCUCUCACUCUAGUUUCCACACUCUUUACUCUAUCCGACUCCUCGCCAUCCCGGCUUCUCCGCCUAUCGCCGUUGCUGGUCGCCGUGAUCAAAGGCAAAGUCGCUGCUGUUUUAACAAUGGGAGAUUUUUGCUUAAAGAAUGAGCUGGCAAAUGAAGGUGAUAUUAAUUGCUAUGUUCUGCUGACAAAGGAUCAUAAACCCAUCUGUCGGACACAAUGCUUCAGUCCUCCUUCCAAGAUGCCUACUUAUUGGAGCAUAUCACACAUAAUUAGGCCAGAAAAAGCUCAUAUUCCUCAUGGGUUACCUUGUUGCAGCUUGUAUCGCGCCUCUGAAAACUCUCAACAGGAAAUAGAGUGGGUUAGGUUCUUGAAUUUUCUUCAGACAUAUAAAAAGGUUGCUGUAGGAAAGCUCGAUAGCUUUGAAUUCUACAUAAUUCCUCCCUGUGAAGGCUCAGACUUAAGCCAUGUCCGCGUUUUAUACAAGGAGGAGAGAAGGAAUUGUUUACAGGACUGUCUAAAACAAGAGAGACUGGCUGGGAUCUUGUCCGAGCAAAAAAAUAUUCUUUUGAAUGCUAAACCACAUAGAGUUGUGCAAUCAGCAAAAGGUUGCAUGCAAAGUAGAUUUGAAUCUUCGUUGGGUGAGGAUGCUGUAUCAAUCUCUAACUGUAUUGAGGAUAGUAUAUCUCCCGAGAAUAAGCUUUCGGAUGCUGAUGGAUGCCAAGCUCAAUAUAAGGUUAAAGUUAGCAGUAAACCUGAAAAUGUAGUGGAUCCCCAUGGUUCCUUGGGUAGAAAUUAUGUGCAAGUAGAUCCCAGUUAUUUGAAAACCCUUGGUCAAGUUCAUUCCAGCUGGAUUUUUGGUGCAAUUGCUGAGUUUGUUGACAAUUCCAGAGAUGCCAAAGCAACCAAAUUGCAAAUUUCUAUGGAAAUGGUGUAUUACAAACCAGCCGGCAAAGACAUUCCAAUGCUGUCAAUAAUAGAUGAUGGCCAUGGGAUGACUCAUCAGGAGAUUGUGAGAAUGAUUUCUUUUGGGCAUAAGCAACCUGAGGCUGAUGAUCCUGAUCAUAUUGGCAGAUUUGGGAUUGGUUUUAAGACUGGGGCAAUGAGAAUUGGGAAGGAUGCUUUGGUUCUUACUCAGGCUGCGAGCUCUCGUUCGGUUGCUUUUCUAUCCCAGUCACUAAAUGAUGGAAAGGAUAAUUUGGAGAUCCCCAUUGUCAGCUACCACAGAGUCGGUCAAUUUAUGGAAAUUGAUUCCAAUGUCCAAAAUGAGGCUUCUGCAAAAAACAAUCUGAAAGCAAUUAGAGAGUUUUCUCCAUUUAAUAAGUAUCUAAUAGGAGAAAAGGCUGGUCUCUUUAGUGAAAGAGGUACUGGAACACAAAUAUACAUUUGGAAUUUAGAUCAGUGGGGAUCAGAUUAUAGCUUGUGUUUGGAAACUGGAAUGAUUGGCGGGAGUUCAUUCCAUCAAGGUGACAUCCUUAUUCAUUCUAAACGUGUCAGAUCUCGCCCAGGCCAAAUGUCUGAAACAGUAAGGCAUAUUCUUUAUGUUUCUUGUGUGGCAUUAACCAAUUUUGUUAACAAAGUUUGUGGUUUCCUUGUGCUUCAGGUGCCUUUGGAUUAUUCUCUAAAAUCUUAUCUGGAAGUCAUCUUCUUUGAUCCACGAAUGAAGAUCUAUGUCCAAGGAGCACUUAUUAGAACUCGUCCUUUAGCCAAGUCACUGCAUAAAACUGUAGUAAAUGAGGGUGUUAUUAUGGGAAAACCAGUUCGGCUGAUUCUUGGCCGCUGUCAACUGGAAUGGGAGCAGGCAAAUUGUGGAAUUUUCUUGUAUUGGCAUGGGCGUCUGAUUGAGGCUUACAAAAGAGUUGGUAGCAUGAUUCAUAAUGGCGAUGCUGGUCGGGGCAUUAUUGGGGUUGUCGAUCUGACUGAUUUAAUGAAGGAUGAUAAUGGUCAUAUUUGGGUGCACAAUAACAAGCAAGGAUUCCAGGACUGUGAAGCUUAUGCAGAACUGGAGAAAUGGUUGGCUAUAAAAACAGAUGACUACUUGGACAAAUAUGUCAAUAAACUGCAAGUGGAAAAGGGUGGUCCCCUGCACAAACCUGAUCACGAAUGGGUGCAAUGUGACAAAUGCAGAAAGUGGAGAAGGUUAAGUGCUGGGUUCAAUAGCAAGACAUUGCCCCCUGACUGGUUUUGUUAUAUGAAGCCUUUCAAUGGAAGCUGCAGCGUGCCUGAAGAGAAGGUGGAAGAUGGAGUAGUGACAAUAUCUACUAAGCGAUCUGGAUACAAUUGCACCAAGGAUUUGGAGAACAAAGACAGAUCAUCCAAGGAAAGCCCCGAAAGCGGCAGUGAUAAUUCAAGUCAGAGCUGGGAAGGAGAUUAUAAAUCGUCUGUCAAAAGAAGAAAGGGACUUCCGAGGAGUUGCAAAAAGAACCCGAAUCACAUAUAGAAUUUAUGCUUCUGUAAUUGUACAGGUACCUUGCAUACAUAAUCCAGGGGAGGGAUGGGGUCGGGUGGUAUGAGGAGGGAGUUCUGAGUGCAAGACCUCCCACUUUACACCCCAAAAAAAAAUUUUGCAUGGUCGAAGCCCCCAGCAGGCCAAGUUGAUAUUCUGUUGCUUUUACAGGCGGUAGAUUUGGUCAUGGUCCCUGAUGCUAAAAUACUCAAAUGUUCAUUGUAUAUGGUGUGUUACAGCCAUUACCAGGCGGUUGACGUGGAUAUGGUUCCUCGAUACUCUUCCUUUCAUAGCAAAGUAGCCAAAAUCACUUUUUUUUUUGUUUUGUUUCCUUUUUGCUUUUUUUGAGCGCCAGAAUCACAUAUUGUCAUAAAAUGACUUUAUAUCGCAUGAUAUGCGAGGUUAGAAAUACGUCAAACAAGCAGCUUCCUUGUAAUUUUUCAGGCAGAUGUGUUAUAAAAACACUACUUUUACA
This is a non-coding RNA of Coffea arabica (coffee), 2985 nucleotides long. The record is from RefSeq and is a predicted model, not a curated record. NCBI's taxonomy places the organism in Eukaryota, Viridiplantae, Streptophyta, Magnoliopsida, Gentianales, Rubiaceae.